This 327-nucleotide ribosomal RNA is filed under the name uncultured bacterium. RNAcentral describes it as "bacterial SSU rRNA". It matches the Rfam family "Bacterial small subunit ribosomal RNA", at positions 28 to 334 of the family's 1533-position model. The record is from RNAcentral.
GAUGAACGCUGGCGGCGUGCCUAACACAUGCAAGUCGAACGGGGGUUAUUUUGGGAAAGUCCUUCGGGACGUGGAAUCUAUAACCUAGUGGCGGACGGGUGAGUAACGCGUGAGCAAUCUGCCUUUAGGGGGGGGAGUAACAGUCGGAAACGGCUGCUAAUACCGCAUAAGACCACAGCACCGCAUGGUGCAGGGGUAAAAACUCCGGUGGUAUGAGAUGGACCCGCGUCUGAUUAGCUAGUUGGUAAGGUAACGGCUUACCAAGCCGACGAUCAGUAGCCGACCUGAGAGGGUGACCGGCCACAUUGGGACUGAGACACGGCCCAA